This 571-nucleotide long non-coding RNA is filed under the name Cyanistes caeruleus (blue tit). Its description in RNAcentral is "lncRNA (ENSCCEG00000016058.1)". Lineage: Eukaryota; Metazoa; Chordata; Aves; Passeriformes; Paridae. The record is from RNAcentral.
AUGGUUCAAAGGGGCAAUUUCAGAGGUCAAGACACGACAGAGGGACAGUGCCUGUCAAGAAUAUGCAAAAUCUCAGUUCCCUGCUUUAGGAGGAGAUUAGUGACAGUUCAACUACAACAUAAUCCUCUUUCAAAGGAAGCAUCACAUUAAGCUUUUUUGGUUCACUUCUUAUGUAUUCUCAGAAGCUGUGAGGAUUGAAGAUAUGGAGGAUGAUAUUCUAUCAAGAAUAGAAAUUUAGAAUCAUGGAAUUAAAGUCUGAAUAAUAUGCCAGUUUUCAUGGAAGUUCAUCAAGGAAUGUCUCCCAUGGGAGGGACCCCACACUGGAUCAGGGAAGGAGUGUGAAGAAUUCCCCCGAGGAGGAAGGAGCAGCAAAGACAACCUGUGAUGAACUGACCACAGUCCCAUCUCCUUUCCCACCUAACUACUGUGGGGGAAGAGAAAGAGAAUUUGGGGUUAAAGUUGAGCCCAGGAAAAAGGGGUGCUUAGGUGGAAAGUGUUUAAAAAUUUGUUUUUCUUUCUCAUUAUUCUGUUCUGAUUUGUUUGGUAAUAAAUUAAACUAAUUAAUUUUCCA